AUUGAACGCUGGCGGCAGGCUUAACACAUGCAAGUCGAGCGGGGUGAUGGUGCUUGCACUAUCACUUAGCGGCGGACGGGUGAGUAAUGCUUAGGAAUCUGCCUAUUAGUGGGGGACAACAUCUCGAAAGGGAAGCUAAUACCGCAUACGUCCUACGGGAGAAAGCAGGGGAUCACUUGUGACCUUGCGCUAAUAGAUGAGCAUAAGUCGGAUUAGCUAGUUGGUGGGGUAAAGGCCUACCAAGGCGACGAUCUGUAGCGGGUCUGAGAGGAUGAUCCGCCACACUGGGACUGAGACACGGCCCAGACUCCUACGGGAGGCAGCAGUGGGGAAUAUUGGACAAUGGGGGGAACCCUGAUCCAGCCAUGCCGCGUGUGUGAAGAAGGCCUUAUGGUUGUAAAGCACUUUAAGCGAGGAGGAGGCUCUUUUGGUUAAUACCCAAGAUGAGUGGACGUUACUCGCAGAGUAAGCACCGGCUAACUCUGUGCCAGCCGCCGCGGUAA
RNAcentral lists this ribosomal RNA (503 nucleotides) under uncultured bacterium. RNAcentral describes it as "partial 16S ribosomal RNA". It matches the Rfam family "Bacterial small subunit ribosomal RNA", at positions 30 to 523 of the family's 1533-position model. The record is from RNAcentral.